Molecule: long non-coding RNA, 349 nt
Filed under: Setaria viridis
Lineage: Eukaryota; Viridiplantae; Streptophyta; Magnoliopsida; Poales; Poaceae
Description: long non-coding RNA (SVIR_LNC009530)
Source: RNAcentral
CAUAGCAAUGCUUCAUGUUCAAGAGAACCAUUCGCUCUCUAGCCUCUACCAUCAAGUUCACCAAACAAAGUAUUCCUCAACAACCAAUUUCGGUACACGCACGCGUUCAGUACACGCGUCACUACACGAUGCAAAUGAAGAACUGAGAAGAGUGGUUGGCCAUUGAAGAGGUCGAGCAUGGGCAGCUGUUGGAGAAGAACAUGACAGGGUCCUGGAACAUGGGCGAGAUCCAUGGCCUCACCGGCGACAGGGACGACACGACCGACUGAAGAAUCAAGCGUCAUGGGCAAGCAAGCCACUGCUCGUAGCUUCAGGGAAAGAGCGCCGAGUCAAGUUCCAUCUGUAGAGU